Molecule: transfer RNA, 72 nt
Filed under: Bos taurus (domestic cattle)
Lineage: Eukaryota; Metazoa; Chordata; Mammalia; Artiodactyla; Bovidae
Also listed under: 1 other name
Rfam family: tRNA
About the family: Transfer RNA (tRNA) molecules are approximately 80 nucleotides in length. Their secondary structure includes four short double-helical elements and three loops (D, anti-codon, and T loops).
Source: Rfam by way of RNAcentral
UCCCUAGUGGCUCAGAUGGUAAAGCAUCUGCCUACAAUGCAGAAGACCCAGGUUCAAUCCCUGGUUUGGGAA